GGCGAACGGGUGAGUAACGCGUAGACAACUUGCCCAGAGAUUUGGGAUAACAUCGAGAAAUUGAUGCUAAUACCGAAUAAUAUCACGGACACCCCGGUGUCUGUGAUCAAAAGUGGCUUCGGCUACCGUCUUUGGAUGGGUCUGCGUCUGAUUAGCUUGUUGGUGAGGUAAUGGCUCACCAAGGCGACGAUCAGUAGCUGGUCUGAGAGGAUGAUCAGCCACACUGGGACUGAGAUACGGCCCAGACUCC
RNAcentral lists this ribosomal RNA (250 nucleotides) under uncultured bacterium. Its description in RNAcentral is "partial 16S ribosomal RNA". It matches the Rfam family "Bacterial small subunit ribosomal RNA", at positions 97 to 339 of the family's 1533-position model. The record is from RNAcentral.